CUCGAACUCACACCCUGAACAUGCCCGAUCUCGGAAACUAAGCAGGGUCGGGCCUGGUUGGUACUUUUUUAAAGACAGUGUCUCGUGUAUCCCAUGUUGUCUUUGAAC
RNAcentral lists this ribosomal RNA (108 nucleotides) under Peromyscus maniculatus bairdii (prairie deer mouse). The record is from RNAcentral. Lineage: Eukaryota; Metazoa; Chordata; Mammalia; Rodentia; Cricetidae.